AACGCAUAUUGCACUCUCUGGUAAUUCCAGAGAGUAUGCCUGUUUGAGGGUCAUUUGAACAUAAGUUCUAAAUUUCUUAGAAAAAAUGGGUCUUCCAAAUUUUAUGGUUACCUAAAAUACAAGACAUGUCCAUUUUUUUGGGUUACGUGAUACUUGUUAUUCGUGACUUUUCGAGAAAUAUGCAGGCGUGUUGUAAUUUUGCAAAAACGAAUCGAUUUUGUUGUCAUUUGUCUCUGCAAAAUAUAAUAAAUUGAAUCUUGACCUCAAAUUAGGUAAGAGUACCCGCUGAACUUAA
This 295-nucleotide unclassified non-coding RNA is filed under the name uncultured Ambispora. Its description in RNAcentral is "sequence contains ITS2". The record is from RNAcentral. Lineage: Eukaryota; Fungi; Glomeromycota; Glomeromycetes; Archaeosporales; Ambisporaceae.